Molecule: ribosomal RNA, 274 nt
Filed under: Clostridioides difficile
Lineage: Bacteria; Bacillati; Bacillota; Clostridia; Peptostreptococcales; Peptostreptococcaceae
Description: partial 23S ribosomal RNA
Rfam family: Bacterial large subunit ribosomal RNA
Source: RNAcentral
CGGAGAUAGCUGGUUCUCCCCGAAAUAGCUUUAGGGCUAGCCUCAAGGUGAGAGAUACGGAGGUAGAGCACUGAAUGUCCUAGGGGGAAUUGCACCUACCGAAGACUAUCAAACUCCGAAUGCCGUCAUCUUAUACUUGGGAGUCAGACUGUGGGGGAUAAGAUUCAUAGUCGAAAGGGCAACAGCCCAGAUCGUCAGCUAAGGUCCCUAAAUGUAAGUUAAGUGGUAAAGGAUGUGGGAUUGCACAGACAACCAGGAUGUUGGCUUAGAAGCA